GCUCGUGAUGUUAAGAAGAGUUUGUGGUAAACUUCUCAGGAUGAAAACCAAAAAGGGGCGCGUUACUAGUUUACGAAAUUUGAUUUGUUUCAAGCAAAUAUGAAAAUCUUUUUAACAGGUUUCACAAGAAAGUAAUAUUCAUCGUGAAUCAACGAACUAUAAAUACCUUUCUCCAAUAACUCAAGAAAUAUUUCAUCUCCUCCAAGAUAGCAACUAAAUAAAAAAUUCGCUUAAAAAUACUGUGGAAAAUGAAGACGCCGAAUCCCUUGCUAAAGCAGAACCUGCUGCCUGGAUUUGAGGUUGUAAAUGUAAAAUGGCAAAAUUAGUGUCUGAAAAAAGAAUCGCAAUUAAAUAAGAUUUAAAAAUAAAUAGUUAAUUAAAUUUCGAAUAACAAAAGAAAUUCUUACGAAAUCGAAUAAUAUAUGAAUUAAGAUGCCGCACUAACCCCUAUUACAUUAAAUCAUAUCUGGGAAUUGCUCUUUCUUCAACUAUUGAUAUGAGAGUAUUAUCUCAUCCUCAGACAGCUGCAUUUGGGACGAAAGUGGCUCACCACAGCACCUACUACAGGGAGGAAAGCGGUAACAGUCAGUGGAAAAGAACUGGUAGCAAUGUACCAUGAGUUACGUACUGUCCUUCCUGGAUCCUGUUUCCAAACGACAGUGAAAGUACUUACAGAGAUUCAACACUGCUGUCAUCUCCAGCUGCAACUUAAAGAAAGGGAAAUACCUUAUACAGAAGGACAGAUUGAUGAAAUUUCGAGAACAUGCUAAAAUUGACCACGAAGCAUUUUAUAAUGAAGCAAAGAAAAGAAUGAAUAGAAAAUCGUCCCAUCUAGCAAUGCAAAUGUAAACUGAAAUGACUGUUAACAGAUGGGAUGUGAGAACAAGUAGUUCAGUUUAUUUGAAAUACAGAAAAGCACAUGAAGGCUACCUACCUAAGGGUAGGAAGGAGUUUAUGGUAGAAUUUGUAAAGGAAAUAAGGCCACGCUUAUGUUACACCUGGAGAAAACCACUAAACCUCCCUUGAAACCGACCUUGUUCUCUGAGAUUUAAGCCCUGAUCAAACUACUAGUGUUGCUAGACCACCGUUGUGCGAAAGCAUGUUAACAUUUUAGUCAUUCGCUAAUACAGUGACAUUGUGGUUAAUUGCUACUAAUGUUUUUAAACUUAGUCAAUUUCUCUUUCUGAUUGUAAUGCUUGUUUUCAUUAGUCGAUGCUGAGGAAGUAGUUCGUUUAUGUUUGAUUCGCUGAAAGACUUUCUGUUAAAAUAAAAUCUAGAUCAAUCAGCGUCUUUAGACUCACAUUGGUAUAGGACGAGACAUGUUUGUAAGUGAGUAUUGUUUUGAUAUAAGCACAAGAAUAAUUUUUAAGAUUUUGAUUUUGCUUGAAAAACCUGGGCUUUAAUUUACUUUUCUGUAUAAUUUUCUUCUUCUUACCGUAAUGUACGACCAGCUUCAGAAAUCUGUCUUAAUAGAAAUCUGUCACUUAAUUUGAUAAUCAGCGUGAGCACAACUUUCCAUCAUCAGGAAGUUUUCCGAUGUUUCAGGAAGUGUUCUGCGUGAAACUGAGACAGAACCCUUAAAUUAUCGAAAGUCGUGUUUGCACUGGUUAUCAAAUCAGGCGACAAAUUUAUACGAAAAUAGAAUUCAGAAGCUGGUCUUAUGAUCUGAAAAAUGCUUUAAUGUAAUUAGAAAUUAUGUUGGAAAGUAGAUUGAAGCUGAGGCUUUCGUAAAAAAUGAAAAUUUCAAAACUUAUGUUUCUUGUAUUUGUAUAAUGCCAAUAUAACACUCAAUUCGAUAUGUA
Molecule: long non-coding RNA, 1802 nt
Filed under: Stegodyphus dumicola
Lineage: Eukaryota; Metazoa; Arthropoda; Arachnida; Araneae; Eresidae
Description: uncharacterized LOC118184535, transcript variant X1
Source: RNAcentral